UCAGCCCCCAUGCGUUCCAGGAGUCUUAUUGCUGCUGACAUGGUCCCUCCUGUAGCUAUCAAAUCAUCAAUUACCAAUGCACGUUCCCCAGGCUGAACAGCACCAACAUGCAUUUCUAGACAGUCGGUUCCAUAUUCCAGCACGUACUGUUCAGAGAUUACUGGACCUGGCAGCUUUCCGGAUUUUCUUAAAGGAACAAAC
Molecule: unclassified non-coding RNA, 201 nt
Filed under: Hevea brasiliensis (rubber tree)
Lineage: Eukaryota; Viridiplantae; Streptophyta; Magnoliopsida; Malpighiales; Euphorbiaceae
Source: RNAcentral